Molecule: ribosomal RNA, 455 nt
Filed under: uncultured cyanobacterium
Lineage: Bacteria; Bacillati; Cyanobacteriota
Description: bacterial SSU rRNA
Rfam family: Bacterial small subunit ribosomal RNA
Source: RNAcentral
GAUGAACGCUGGCGGCGUGCCUAACACAUGCAAGUCGAACGGGAAUCUUCGGAUUCUAGUGGCGGACGGGUGAGUAACGCGUAAGAAUCUAACUUCAGGACGGGGACAACAGUUGGAAACGUCUGCUAAUACCCGAUGUGCCGCAAGGUGAAACCUAAUUGGCCUGAAGAUGAGCUCGCGUCUGAUUAGCUAGUUGGUAGUGUAAGGGACUACCAAGGCGACGAUCAGUAGCUGGUCUGAGAGGAUGAGCAGCCACACUGGGACUGAGACACGGCCCAGACUCCUACGGGAGGCAGCAGUGGGGGAAUUUUCCGCAAUGGGCGAAAGCCUGACGGAGCAAUACCGCGUGAGGGAGGAAGGUCUUUGGAUUGUAAACCUCUUUUAUUAGGGAAGAAAAAACUGACGGUACCUAAUGAAUAAGCAUCGGCUAACUCCGUGCCAGCAGCCGCGGUAAU